UCAGGAGUCAUGGGCUUUGAGGGGCUAAUUCACUUUUGGGCUAAGUUUGGAUCUAAGGAGGGUAAGAGCAUGCAGAUCAUAGGUGUACAUGGGUUUGGAUGAGUGCAAUCACAUGUAGGUUAAACAUGAAAGUUAUUUAGGUUUGAUCUUGGGUUAGACCAAUUGGUACUCAUAUAUAUAUAAAUAUAUAUAUAUGAGAUUGCAACCCAAUUU
This 213-nucleotide long non-coding RNA is filed under the name Elaeis guineensis (African oil palm). RNAcentral describes it as "long non-coding RNA (EGUI_LNC027765)". The record is from RNAcentral. Lineage: Eukaryota; Viridiplantae; Streptophyta; Magnoliopsida; Arecales; Arecaceae.